GUGGGGAAUAUUGGGCAAUGGGCGCAAGCCUGACCCAGCAACGCCGCGUGAAGGAAGAAGGUUUUCGGAUCGUAAACUUCUAUCCUUGGUGAAGAUAAUGACGGUAGCCAAGAAGGAAGCCCCGGCUAACUACGUGCCAGCAGCCGCGGUAAUACGUAGGGGGCAAGCGUUGUCCGGAAUGAUUGGGCGUAAAGGGCGCGUAGGCGGCCUGGUAAGUCUGGAGUGAAAGUCAUGCUUUUAAGGUGGGAAUUGCUUUGGAUACUGUCGGGCUUGAGUGCAGGAGAGGUAAGUGGAAUUCCCGGUGUAGCGGUGAAAUGCGUAGAGAUCGGGAGGAACACCAGUGGCGAAGGCGACUUACUGGACUGUAACUGACGCUGAGGCGCGAAAGUGUGGGGAGCAAACAGGAUUAGAAACCCCAGUAGUCC
This 425-nucleotide ribosomal RNA is filed under the name uncultured bacterium. RNAcentral's name for it is "partial 16S ribosomal RNA". It matches the Rfam family "Bacterial small subunit ribosomal RNA", at positions 354 to 796 of the family's 1533-position model. The record is from RNAcentral.